Molecule: long non-coding RNA, 720 nt
Filed under: Salvator merianae (Argentine black and white tegu)
Lineage: Eukaryota; Metazoa; Chordata; Lepidosauria; Squamata; Teiidae
Description: lncRNA (ENSSMRG00000013524.1)
Source: RNAcentral
GGCAGCAGAGGCACCUUUUCCUUGCUCCUGGCAGCAUCUAGAAAGUCUCAGGGAGGAACGGAAAGUAAACACAAGAACACCUUCUGUCGUCUCCACCACAGGCAGCGGCUUGUUCUGGUUUUACUGCAUUUCACCAGGUGUCAGCAGAGAUACUCAGCUCUGAGGCAGCAGCUCCAGCCUCGCAGCUCUAGGCGUCUGGUUAUAUAGUAACCUGUUGCUUCAGCUGCAGAUCCACCUCUGUCGCCUCUUCUGACUGGCUAGGACAAGAAGAAAGCCCUUCCUUCCACCUGCUUCCCAGUGGAGUGUAGAAGGUUAAACUGGAAGAAAGGAGACAACGGGCAAAAGAGAGGGGAGCAGUCGGAGGUCAGAAGCUACUUCGCCUUUUGCUCCUGCCGUUUUUGAUCACCGGAGGGAAUUGUCGGCUGAAGAAAAGCCGCGCGAGAAGCGUGAAGAGAAGGUAGAAUGGCAGCGAACCUGGACUAAGAGAAGUGCAAGGUGAGAAGGGAACAACAGGAGCCCAAGGAAAGGGGAGAGUCCAGCUGAAUUCGGAGCAAAAGUGAAUGUCUUGAAAGCAGUAUGAGCCAGAAAGGAUCUACAAACAGUUAUCCUGGUUCUCCAAAUGGCAGUAUGGGCAAAGCAGAUGGAGCUGCCAAAAUGAGUGCAAAAGAUUUAUAUGGUAUGUUCCCAGUUUCUUAUUAUUUCAGUUUUUAGCUUGCUCUC